AUGUGCGGCUAGGCCACCCUGAACACGCCCGAUCCUGUCUGAUCUCGGAAGCUAAGCAGGGUCGGGCCUGGUUAGUACUUGGGUGGGAGACCACUUAGGAAGACCAGGUGCUGUAGGCA
RNAcentral lists this ribosomal RNA (119 nucleotides) under Pteropus alecto (black flying fox). Lineage: Eukaryota; Metazoa; Chordata; Mammalia; Chiroptera; Pteropodidae. The record is from RNAcentral.